CCCGGGGGCGCGCUUUGCUUACGUGGACACAAAGAUUGCUGACGAGGACGCGUUUUGCUGCCACGUAGGCAAAGCGCGCCCCCGGGG
Gossypium raimondii (Peruvian cotton) is the source of this 87-nucleotide microRNA precursor. It matches the Rfam family "MIR7486 microRNA precursor family". NCBI's taxonomy places the organism in Eukaryota, Viridiplantae, Streptophyta, Magnoliopsida, Malvales, Malvaceae. The record is from Rfam.